This 578-nucleotide ribosomal RNA is filed under the name Cutaneotrichosporon dermatis. RNAcentral's name for it is "LSU rRNA". It matches the Rfam family "Eukaryotic large subunit ribosomal RNA", at positions 70 to 638 of the family's 3401-position model. Lineage: Eukaryota; Fungi; Basidiomycota; Tremellomycetes; Trichosporonales; Trichosporonaceae. The record is from RNAcentral.
UAGGAUUCCCUUAGUAACGGCGAGUGAACCGGGAAAAGCUCAAAUUUGUAAUCUGGCUGUCUUCGAUAGUCCGAGUUGUAAUCUAUAGACGUGUUUUCCGUGCUGGACCGUAUCUAAGUCCCUUGGAACAGGGUAUCAAAGAGGGUGACAAUCCCGUGCUUGAUACGACCACCAGUGCUCUGUGAUACACGCUCUACGAGUCGAGUUGUUUGGGAAUGCAGCUCAAAAUGGGUGGUAAAUUCCAUCUAAAGCUAAAUAUUGGCGAGAGACCGAUAGCGAACAAGUACCGUGAGGGAAAGAUGAAAAGCACUUUGGAAAGAGAGUUAAACAGUACGUGAAAUUGUUGAAAGGGAAACGAUUGAAAUCAGUCGUGUUCUUUGGAUUCAGCUAGUUCUUCUAGUCUACUUCCAUUGAACGGGUCAACAUCAGUUUUGUCCGGUGGAUAAAGAUAGUAGGAAUGUAGCUCCCCCGGGAGUGUUAUAGACUAUUAUUGCAUACACUGGGUGAGACUGAGGACUGCAGCUCGCCUUUUGGCCGGUCUUCGGACACGUUCGAGCUUAGGAUGUUGACAUAAUGGC